RNAcentral lists this ribosomal RNA (442 nucleotides) under uncultured bacterium. RNAcentral's name for it is "bacterial SSU rRNA". It matches the Rfam family "Bacterial small subunit ribosomal RNA", at positions 354 to 796 of the family's 1533-position model. The record is from RNAcentral.
GUGAGGAAUAUUGGUCAAUGGGCGCAAGCCUGAACCAGCAAUGCCGCGUGUGGGAUGACGGCGCUUUGCGUUGUAAACCACUGUCGGACGGGACGAAAAGAGGCAUUAGCCUCCGAGACGGUACCGUCAAAGGAAGGGUCGGCUAACUACGUGCCAGCAGCCGCGGUAAUACGUAGGACCCAAGCGUUGUCCGGAUUCACUGGGUAUAAAGGGUGCGUAGGCGGUCUUGUGCGUCAGAGGUGAAAUAUCCGGGCUUAACCCGGAGGGUGCCUUUGAUACGGCAGGACUUGAGUGCGAGAGAGGAUGAUGGAAUUCCUGGUGUAGCGGUGAAAUGCGUAGAUAUCAGGAGGAACACCGGUGGCGAAGGCGGUCAUCUGGCUCGUAACUGACGCUGAGGCACGAAAGCGUGGGGAUCAAACAGGAUUAGAAACCCGAGUAGUCC